UACGUAGGGGGCUAGCGUUGUCCGGAAUCAUUGGGCGUAAAGAGCGUGUAGGCGGUCCGGUAAGUCCGCUGUGAAAGUCGGGGGCUCAACCCUCGAAUGCCGGUGGAUACUGUCGGGCUAGAGUGCGGAAGAGGCGAGUGGAAUUCCUGGUGUAGCGGUGAAAUGCGCAGAUAUCAAGAGGAACACCUGAGGUGAAGACGGGUUGCUGGGCCGACACUGACGCUGAGUGCGCGAAAGCCAGGGGAGCAAACGGG
RNAcentral lists this ribosomal RNA (254 nucleotides) under uncultured bacterium. Its description in RNAcentral is "partial 16S ribosomal RNA". It matches the Rfam family "Bacterial small subunit ribosomal RNA", at positions 524 to 776 of the family's 1533-position model. The record is from RNAcentral.